ACUCCUACGGGAGGCAGCAGUGGGAAUCUUGGACAAUGGGGCAACCGUAGCAUCCAGCCAUGCCGCGUGAGUGAUGAAGGCCUUAGGGUCGUAAAGCUCUUUCGCCUGUGAAGAUAAUGACGGUAGCAGGUAAAGAAACCCGCCGUACAUCCGUGCCAGCAGCCGCGGUAAUACGGAGGGGUUAGCGUUGUUCGGAAUUACUGGGCGUAAAGCGCACGUAGGCGGAUCGGAAAGUUGGGGUGAAAU
This 246-nucleotide ribosomal RNA is filed under the name uncultured bacterium. Its description in RNAcentral is "partial 16S ribosomal RNA". It matches the Rfam family "Bacterial small subunit ribosomal RNA", at positions 335 to 600 of the family's 1533-position model. The record is from RNAcentral.